GGGACAAUAGGUAAAUGGCUUAUACCGUGCGGCUCCAGACCGCAAAUUGGGGGUUCGAUUCCCUCUUGUCCCA
Molecule: transfer RNA, 73 nt
Filed under: Candidatus Pacearchaeota archaeon
Lineage: Archaea; Nanobdellati
Description: tRNA-Trp
Rfam family: tRNA
About the family: Transfer RNA (tRNA) molecules are approximately 80 nucleotides in length. Their secondary structure includes four short double-helical elements and three loops (D, anti-codon, and T loops).
Source: RNAcentral